AUGGCCGCCAGACUCCCUCUCGCUGCGUGCAUCGUCGCCUUCCACCUCUGCCUUCUCCUCUUGCCGUCAUCCUCACUCCGCCGGCUCUCAGAAGCGGAGACCGCGGAAGUCCGCCAUGGCGUGGGCAUCAGGCCCGCCUACCACUUCCUGCCCGCCAAGAACUGGCAGAACGAUCCGAAUGGGCCGAUGUACCACAACGGUGUAUACCACCUCUUCUACCAGUACAACCCGUUGGGCGCGACAUGGGGCAGCGGCAACCUGUCAUGGGGUCACUCCGUCUCCCGUGACCUUGUGAACUGGGCCGCCCUUGACAUCGCGCUUGACCCCACCGCCCCCUUUGACCACAACGGAUGCUGGUCAGGCUCCACCACAAUCCUCCCUGGUGGCAUGCCGGCCUUGAUGUACACUGGCCGCAUCGACAACGCCAAGGUGCAAGUGCAGAACGUCGCCUUCCCUAGGAACCCUGCCGACCCACUCCUUCGUGAUUGGGUCAAGCCCGCCUACAACCCUGUCAUAUCGCUUCCAGCCGACGUUCCUGGAGAAUACUUCCGCGACCCUACCACGGCGUGGGUAGGCCGCGACAGUAUGUGGCGUAUGGCCAUUGCGGCCAAGGUCGGUGGCCCCAAUGGCAUUGCCUCCACGCUCAUCUACCGGAGUAAGGACUUCCGACACUGGAAGCGGAACGACUUGCCAUUGUACACAUCACGUGCCGCCAGCAUGGUUGAGUGCCCGGACCUAUUCCCAGUGGCAGAGCCUGGUACAGAGGAGGGGCGACUCGGCUACGCUUCUGGAACAGCGAGCGGUGCUAUGAGGCAUGUGCUAAAGCUGAGCGUGACAAACAUGACCCAGGACUACUAUGCAAUUGGGAGGUAUGAUGAUGUGGCAGACACCUUCGUGCCAGAGGUGGAUGGCGAGCGCAGCGUCGAAGACUGCCGGACCUGGCGCCGCUUCGACUACGGGCACGUAUACGCCUCAAAGUCCUUCUUCGACACGCGCAAGAACCGACGCGUGCUCUGGGCAUGGGCUAGCGAGUCCGAUAGCCAGUACGAUGACCUUGCCAGAGGCUGGUCCGGUGUUCAGAUAGUUCCGAGGAAGGUGUGGCUGGACGGAGACGGUAAGCAGCUACGACAGUGGCCAAUCGAGGAGAUUGAGACGUUGAGAAGAAAACGAGUCGCCGCAUUGCAAGAAGCACAUGUGAAUGCCGGUGGCGUGAACGAGAUCAGUGGCGCGGGCGCGCAGACUGACGUUGAUGCCAUCUUCGAGAUCCCGUCGCUGGAAGAGGCUGAGACCUUCGAGCCCAACUGGCUGCUGGACCCGCAGAAGCUAUGCGAGGAGAAGGGCGCGUGUGUGCCAGGAGGGGUUGGCCCAUUCGGGCUACUCGUCAUGGCCUCCGGCGACCUGCGGGAGCACACGGCUGUCUUCUUCAGAGUGUUCAGACACAACCGCAAGUACAAAGUUCUCAUGUGCACCGACCUCACAAGAUCGACUGGGAGGGACAAGGUGUACAAGGCACCGUAUGGAGGGUUUGUGGACAUAGACAUCGAGCAGCACCAGAGGAGCAUAUCUCUUAGAACAUUGAUUGACCAUUCGGUGGUGGAGAGCUUUGGUGGCGGGGGGCGGACAUGCAUCACAGCACGGGUGUACCCUGUGCACGCGGAGAACAACAAUAGCCAUGUGUUCCUGUUCAAUAACGGGACCGGCAUCGUGAAGGUGUCAAGGCUUGAGGCAUGGACGCUGGCGACAGCUGCCGUAAAUGUCGUGCAUGGCGGGUGA
RNAcentral lists this ribosomal RNA (1773 nucleotides) under Triticum aestivum (bread wheat). RNAcentral's name for it is "partial small subunit ribosomal RNA". Lineage: Eukaryota; Viridiplantae; Streptophyta; Magnoliopsida; Poales; Poaceae. The record is from RNAcentral.